GAUGAACGCUGGCGGCGUGCCUAAUACAUGCAAGUCGAGCGAACGGACGAGAAGCUUGCUUCUCUGAUGUUAGCGGCGGACGGGUGAGUAACACGUGGAUAACCUACCUAUAAGACUGGGAUAACUUCGGGAAACCGGAGCUAAUACCGGAUAAUAUUUUGAACCGCAUGGUUCAAAAGUGAAAGACGGUCUUGCUGUCACUUAUAGAUGGAUCCGCGCUGCAUUAGCUAGUUGGUAAGGUAACGGCUUACCAAGGCAACGAUGCAUAGCCGACCUGAGAGGGUGAUCGGCCACACUGGAACUGAGACACGGUCCAGACUCCUACGGGAGGCAGCAGUAGGGAAUCUUCCGCAAUGGGCGAAAGCCUGACGGAGCAACGCCGCGUGAGUGAUGAAGGUCUUCGGAUCGUAAAACUCUGUUAUUAGGGAAGAACAUAUGUGUAAGUAACUGUGCACAUCUUGACGGUACCUAAUCAGAAAGUCACGGCUAACUACGU
This 496-nucleotide ribosomal RNA is filed under the name uncultured bacterium. RNAcentral's name for it is "partial 16S ribosomal RNA". It matches the Rfam family "Bacterial small subunit ribosomal RNA", at positions 28 to 506 of the family's 1533-position model. The record is from RNAcentral.